CCUACGUGUGGCAGCAGUGAGGAAUAUUGGUCAAUGGACGAGAGUCUGAACCAGCCAAGUAGCGUGAAGGAUGACUGCCCUAUGGGUUGUAAACUUCUUUUAUAUGGGAAUAAAAUGUUCCACGUGUGGGAUUUUGUAUGUACCAUAUGAAUAAGGAUCGGCUAACUCCGUGCCAGCAGCCGCGGUAAUACGGAGGAUCCGAGCGUUAUCCGGAUUUAUUGGGUUUAAAGGGAGCGUAGGUGGAGUGUUAAGUCAGUUGUGAAAGUUUGCGGCUCAAACGUAAAAUUGCAGUUGAAACUGGCAGUCUUGAGUACAGGAGAGGUAGGCGGAAUUCGUGGUGUAGCGGUGAAAUGCUUAGAUAUCACGCAGAACUCCGAUUGCGAAGGCAGUUCACUGGACUGCAACUGACACUGAGGCUCGAAAGUGUGGGUAUCGAACAGGAUUAGAUACCCCUGUAGUC
RNAcentral lists this ribosomal RNA (460 nucleotides) under uncultured bacterium. RNAcentral's name for it is "partial 16S ribosomal RNA". It matches the Rfam family "Bacterial small subunit ribosomal RNA", at positions 338 to 795 of the family's 1533-position model. The record is from RNAcentral.